UACUGUAAACCAACUUAUUUUCGCGAGCGAUUUAUUUUCGCGACUUUCGCGAGUAGAAAAAUAACGCGAAUAUAAAUCGUCGCGAAUAUGUCAAUCUUUGAUCUUUCCUUAAUAAACUUCAUCAAGUAAAUCAGAUAAUCGCGAAAUUUAAUAGCCGCGAAGUGGUCAAGAAAGGGUAAAACGCGAAAUAAAGUAUCCGCGAAAAUAAGUUGGUUUACAGUA
Molecule: long non-coding RNA, 222 nt
Filed under: Mytilus galloprovincialis (Mediterranean mussel)
Lineage: Eukaryota; Metazoa; Mollusca; Bivalvia; Mytilida; Mytilidae
Source: RNAcentral